Molecule: long non-coding RNA, 329 nt
Organism: Patella vulgata (common limpet)
Lineage: Eukaryota; Metazoa; Mollusca; Gastropoda; Patellidae
Exons: 3
Source: RefSeq, a predicted model, not a curated record
AGGCACUACGGUAUCUCUCUCGUAAACCAUCGCAUGACAGUUGGAACUUGCAAGAGUCGAUUGAUAAAUUUGGAUACUUAUGUUUUCAGUUAUCAAUUGGUUGUUACACACACAGAUUCAGGUGAUGACAUUUUGGGUAAAAUACAAGGUGACCAGCAUUGGUGUCAUAUUGUAUAUUUUACAGAGUCAUGUUUCUGCUGAUAUCUCCAAUCCAAAUAUAACUGGAAAUGCAACAUGUUAUAGAGAAAUGGAAUUGUAUGCGGAUGGUGUUCGAUAUGUACAUGCUAAUGAUAACAGAUGGGGUGGUGUGUCACCCAUCAACAUACCUG